UGGGGAAUUUUGGACAAUGGGCGAAAGCCUGAUCCAGCAAUGCCGCGUGUGUGAAGAAGGCCUUCGGGUUGUAAAGCACUUUUGUCCGGAAAGAAAUCCUUGGCUCUAAUACAGUCGGGGGAUGACGGUACCGGAAGAAUAAGCACCGGCUAACUACGUGCCAGCAGCCGCGGUAAUACGUAGGGUGCAAGCGUUAAUCGGAAUUACUGGGCGUAAAGCGUGCGCAGGCGGUUUGCUAAGACCGAUGUGAAAUCCCCGGGCUCAACCUGGGAACUGCAUUGGUGACUGGCAGGCUAGAGUAUGGCAGAGGGGGGUAGAAUUCCACGUGUAGCAGUGAAAUGCGUAGAGAUGUGGAGGAAUACCGAUGGCGAAGGCAGCCCCCCUGGGCCAAUACUGACGCUCAUGCACGAAAGGCGUGGGGGAGC
This 425-nucleotide ribosomal RNA is filed under the name uncultured bacterium. RNAcentral describes it as "partial 16S ribosomal RNA". It matches the Rfam family "Bacterial small subunit ribosomal RNA", at positions 355 to 769 of the family's 1533-position model. The record is from RNAcentral.